RNAcentral lists this ribosomal RNA (486 nucleotides) under uncultured bacterium. RNAcentral describes it as "partial 16S ribosomal RNA". It matches the Rfam family "Bacterial small subunit ribosomal RNA", at positions 28 to 507 of the family's 1533-position model. The record is from RNAcentral.
GACGAACGCUGGCGGCGUGCUUAACACAUGCAAGUCGAACGGGAUCCAAAGGCUUUUUGUUUUUGGUGAGAGUGGCGAACGGGUGAGUAACACGUGAGUAACCUGCCCCCUUCUUUUGGAUAACCGCAUGAAAGUGUGGCUAAUACAGGAUAUUCCAGGCUGGUCGCAUGAUUGGUUUGGGAAAUGGUUUGGUCUGGUGGGGGAUGGGCUCGCGGCCUAUCAGCUUGUUGGUGGGGUGAUGGCCUACCAAGGCGGUGACGGGUAGCCGGCCUGAGAGGGUGGGCGGUCACACUGGGACUGAGAUACGGCCCAGACUCCUACGGGAGGCAGCAGUGGGGGAUUUUGCACAAUGGGCGCAAGCCUGAUGCAGCGACGCCGCGUGAGGGAUGAAGGCCUUCGGGUUGUAAACCUCUUUCGCUGGGUUGAAAGGCCAUGCUUUGGGUGUGGUUGAUUUGAACUGGUAAAGAAGUACCGGCUAACUACGUG